Molecule: RNA transcript, 2247 nt
Organism: Telopea speciosissima
Lineage: Eukaryota; Viridiplantae; Streptophyta; Magnoliopsida; Proteales; Proteaceae
Gene name: glycerol-3-phosphate dehydrogenase SDP6, mitochondrial-like
Exons: 8
Source: RefSeq, a predicted model, not a curated record
AAUCUGAAAAGGUAAAAGAGAAGACAGUUGUUCCAUGGCAAAGACAAUUCGAUUAAGGGGCUUCGGAGCUGCCAUCGUUGCGGUGGCAGGUGCCUACGGUGUAAUGGGUUUGAGAGACCCAAUUCCGAACGUGGUUGAGAGUGAUAGAGGAGAGAGCAUUGAGAGUUUCAGGAGAAAAAUCUCUGAUGUGAACGCUUCUGUUCCGUCGAGAAAAGUUCAGGAGUCCGCUUUGAAAGGAACCAGUGCUGCCAAUCCUCUCGACGUUCUUGUAGUUGGCGGUGGCGCUACCGGCUGCGGUGUGGCGCUUGACGCUGUUUCCAGGGGCCUUCGAGUUGGGCUCGUUGAGAGAGAGGAUUUCUCUUCGGGGACUUCCUCUAGGUCCACCAAGCUCAUUCAUGGAGGGGUACGCUACUUGGAGAAAGCUGUCUUCAAUUUUGACUAUGGGCAGCUGAAACUGGUUUUUCAUGCACUGGAGGAGCGUAAACAGGUUAUCGAGAAUGCUCCACACUUAUGUCAUGCUUUACCAUGCAUGACACCGUGUUUCAACUGGUUUGAAGUAGUUUACUACUGGUUGGGAUUGAAAUUAUACGAUGUGGUCGCAGGACCACGCUUGCUUCAUUUGUCCCGGUAUUAUUCUGCACAAGAAUCAGUUGAACUCUUCCCAACCCUUUCAAGGAAGGUUGAGGAUAGAAUCUUGAAGGGUACAGUGGUGUACUAUGAUGGACAGAUGAAUGACUCUCGACUGAAUGUUGGCCUGGCAUGUACUGCUGCAUUAGCUGGUGCAGCUGUGCUCAACUAUGCAGAAGUGAUUUCCUUUCUUAAGGAUGAGGUUACCGACCGUAUAAUUGGUGCACGCAUCCGUAACAAUUUGUCAGGAAAAGAGUUUGAUGCAUAUGCCAAAGUUGUUGUGAAUGCUGCUGGCCCAUUUUGUGAUUCUGUGAGGAGGAUGGCUAACAAAGAUGCACAAGCCAUGGUCUGUCCCAGCAGUGGUGUUCACAUUGUUCUCCCAGAUUAUUAUUCUCCUGAAGGGAUGGGCUUAAUUGUUCCAAAAACUAAGGAUGGACGUGUAGUCUUCAUGUUGCCAUGGCUGGGAAGAACAAUUGCUGGAACUACAGAUUCCAGUACUACAAUUACAAUGCUUCCAGAACCUCAUGAAGAUGAAAUACAAUUUAUCCUAGAUGCGAUCUGUGAUUACCUUAAUGUCAAGGUUCGUCGAAUGGAUGUUCUCUCUGCUUGGAGUGGUAUUCGUCCUUUGGCAAUGGAUCCUUCAGCAAAAAACACUGAGAGCAUUUCCAGAGAUCAUGUUGUAUUUGAAGAUUACCCUGGUUUGAUCACCAUUACUGGUGGAAAAUGGACUACUUACCGAAGCAUGGCAGAAGCUGCAGUUGAAGCAGCUGUAAAGUCUGGUAAGUUGAGCCCAACCAAUGGCUGUGUGACCAACCACCUAAAGAUUGUUGGUGGAGAUGGGUGGAGUCGAGCAUUUUUUACAGUGCUUGCUCAACAAUUUGUUCGUAUGAAGAAGACAUAUGGUGGUAAAGUUGUUCCUGAGGCAAUGGACAGUGCUAUAGCCAAGCAUUUAGCUCAUUCUUACGGUACUUUGGCACAAAAAGUUGCUGCCAUAGCUCAGAAUGAAAAUCUAGGAAAGAGGCUUGCUCAUGGAUAUCCCUUUCUAGAGGCGGAAGUUGCAUACUGUGCUCGGCAUGAGUACUGUGAGUCUGCUGUUGAUUUCAUUGCUAGGAGAUGUAGGCUUGCUUUUCUGGACACUGAUGCAGCAAGCCGAGCAUUGCCCCGCGUAAUUGAGAUACUGACUGCUGAACACCAGUGGGAUAGGUCAAGGAAGAAGGCAGAGUUGCAGAAAGCUAAGGAAUUCUUGGAAACAUUUAAGUCAUCUAAAAAUGCUCAAUUCUAUCACGGAAAACACACAGGGUCAUGAACUGAAUUAUGAGGAAACAUAAUGGAGGGGAGUUGUUCAGUACCAUAUUAUUUGGUUCCUACCACAUGUGAUUGGAUCAGCCCAAGAAACAGGACUUGAGCACUUAGACAGGGACUUUGUGGAGCAGUGUGUAUAGGAGAAAGCGGGUAGAAGUGUGAUCAGAUGCAGAGUCUUUGAUUAAAGCUCUUGAGAGAGAUGAUGGGGUCAGGUCGCCUCGGGGCAUUUUUCCUCUUCUUUGUGAUAUUUACUUUUCUGCUAAGAUAAACUCUCUUCGUUUUGUUACGAAGCGUAGGCAGCUGUUAUUAUUGCUCAAU